UACGUAGGGAGCAAGCGUUAUCCGGAUUUAUUGGGUGUAAAGGGUGCGUAGACGGGAAGGCAAGUUGGUUGUGAAAUCCCUCGGCUUAACUGAGGAACUGCAACCAAAACUAUCUUUCUUGAGUGCUGGAGAGGAAAGUGGAAUUCCUAGUGUAGCGGUGAAAUGCGUAGAUAUUAGGAGGAACACCAGUGGCGAAGGCGACUUUCUGGACAGUAACCGACGCUGAGGCUCGAAAGCGUGGGGAGCAAACAGG
RNAcentral lists this ribosomal RNA (253 nucleotides) under uncultured bacterium. RNAcentral describes it as "partial 16S ribosomal RNA". It matches the Rfam family "Bacterial small subunit ribosomal RNA", at positions 524 to 776 of the family's 1533-position model. The record is from RNAcentral.